RNAcentral lists this long non-coding RNA (531 nucleotides) under Ananas comosus (pineapple). Its description in RNAcentral is "long non-coding RNA (ACOM_LNC003179)". Lineage: Eukaryota; Viridiplantae; Streptophyta; Magnoliopsida; Poales; Bromeliaceae. The record is from RNAcentral.
GAGCGAUGGCGCGGGUAACGCCGAGCUGCAAACCCGAUGAUAACUAAGGAGCGUUGGCGAGGGUAACACCGAGCCGCCGAGGAGAGAAGAGAGUGAAAUCGUUUGGGUGAGGAGAGGGACGGCGCGAGGAGUAGAGAGAGGCGCGAGAGAGCGACGGGGAGAGCGAGAGCUAAAGCGAGAGAGAGAGCGACGGGGAGAGAGAGCGUCGGGUAGAGAGAUAGGGAGAGAUAGAGACGGCCUGAGGGAGAGAGAGAGAGAGGAGAGCAUCGAGUAGAGAGAGGGACGGUUAGAGAGAGAUAGGAGGAGACAGAGAUGGGUUGGGGGGGAGGAGAGAGAGAGAGAGAGAGAGAGAGAGAGAGAGGAGGGAGUUUUACAGCUGUUUUAUUAAUUUUUACUUUUAUUUUUUUUUUCAGCGUCAAAACGUGGUUAGAGAGAGAUAGGGAGAGAUAGAGACGGGUUGAGGGAGAGAGAGAGAGAGGAGAGGGGAUUCUACAGUUGUUUUUUUUUUUCUUUAUUAUUUUUUUUUUUUUG